UUCGAUCAUGGCUCAGAUUGAACGCUGGCGGGAUACUUUACACAUGCAAGUCGAACGGCAGCACGGACUUCGGUCUGGUGGCGAGUGGCGAACGGGUGAGUAAUGUAUCGGAACGUGCUAGUAGCGGAGAAUAACUACGCGAAAGCGUAGCUAAUACCGCAUACGCCCUUCGAGGAAAGCGGGGGACCUUCGGGCCUCGCACUAAUAGAGCGGCCGAUAUCGGAUUAGCUAGUUGGUGGGGUAACGGCUCACCAAGGCGACGAUCCGUAGCUGGUUUGAGAGGACGACCAGCCACACUGGGACUGAGACACGGCCCAGACUCCUACGGGAGGCAGUGGGGAAUUUUGGACAAUGGGGGAAACCCUGAUCCAGCCAUCCCGCGUGUGCGAUGAAGAAGGCCUUCGGGUUGUAAAGCACUUUUUGGCAGGAAAGAAACGGCGGGAUAAUACCCCGUGCAACUGACGGUACCUGCAGAAUAAGCACCGGCUAACUACGUGCCCAGCAGCCGCGGUAAUACGUAAGUGCAAGCGUUAAUCGGAAUUACUGGGCGUAAAGCGUGCGCAGGCGGUUCGGAAGAAGAUGUGAAAUCCCAGGUAACUUUGGAACUGCAUUUUUAACUACCGAGCUAGAGUGUGUCAGAGGGAGGUGGAAUUCCGCGUGUAGCAAAUGCGUAGAUAUGCGGAGGAACACCGAUGGCGAAGGCAGCCUCCUGGGAUAACACUGACGCUCAUGCACGAAAAGCGUGAAACAAACAGGAUUAGAUACCCUGGUAGUCCACGCCUAAACGAUGUCAACUAGCUGUUGGGGCCUUCGGGCCUUGGUAGCCGCAGCUAACGCGUGAAGUUGACCGCCUGGGAGAGUACGGUCGCAAGAUUAAAACUCAAAGGAAUUGACGAGGGACCCGCACAAGCGGUGGAUGAUGUGGAUUAAUUCGAUGCAACGCGAAAACCCCACCUACCCUUGACAUGUCUGGAAUCCCGAAGAGAUUUGGGAGUGCUCGCAAGAGGAACGGAACACAGGUGCUGCAUGGCUGUCGUCAGCUCGUGUCGUGAGGUGUUGGUUAAGUCCGCAACGACGCAACCCUUGUCAUUAGUUGCUACGAAAGGGCACUCUGGCGAGACUGCCGGUGACAAACCGGAGGAAGGUGGGGAUGACGUCAAGUCCUCAUGGCCCUUAUGGGUAGGGCUUCACACGUCAUACAAUGGUCGGGACAGAGGGUCGCCAACCCGCGAGGGAGCCAAUCCCAGAAACCCGAUCGUAGUCCGGAUCCGCAGUCUGCAACUCGACUGCGUGAAGUCGGAAUCGCUAGUAAUCGCGGAUCAGCAUGUCGCGGUGAAUACGUUCCCGGGUCUUGUACACACCGCCCGUCACACCAUGGGAGUGGGUUUUACCAGAAGUAGUUAGCCUAACCGUAAGGAGGGCGAUUACCACGGUAGGAUUCAUGACUGGGGUGAAGUCGUAACAAGGUAG
Molecule: ribosomal RNA, 1470 nt
Filed under: uncultured Bordetella sp.
Lineage: Bacteria; Pseudomonadati; Pseudomonadota; Betaproteobacteria; Burkholderiales; Alcaligenaceae
Description: partial 16S-23S ribosomal RNA intergenic spacer
Rfam family: Bacterial small subunit ribosomal RNA
Source: RNAcentral